RNAcentral lists this non-coding RNA (21 nucleotides) under Caenorhabditis elegans. Lineage: Eukaryota; Metazoa; Nematoda; Chromadorea; Rhabditida; Rhabditidae. The record is from RNAcentral.
UAAUCUUAACAUUUGAUAAAU